GGCGAUAUAGUGUAGUGGUUAUCACUCGAGAUUCUGAUUAACUCUGAGUUCUCGAAACCCAGGUUCGAGCCCUGGUAUUGCCU
This is a non-coding RNA of Suillus clintonianus, 83 nucleotides long. NCBI's taxonomy places the organism in Eukaryota, Fungi, Basidiomycota, Agaricomycetes, Boletales, Suillaceae. The record is from the annotation of a RefSeq genome assembly.